RNAcentral lists this ribosomal RNA (354 nucleotides) under bacterium LimB-1-J-13. RNAcentral describes it as "bacterial SSU rRNA". It matches the Rfam family "Bacterial small subunit ribosomal RNA", at positions 289 to 635 of the family's 1533-position model. The record is from RNAcentral.
GGUUUGAGAGGAUGAUCCGCCACACUGGGACUGAGACACGGCCCAGACUCCUACGGGAGGCAGCAUUGGGGAAUUUUGGACAAUGGGCGCAAGCCUGAUCCAGCCAUGCCGCGUGUCUGAAGAAGGCCUUCGGGUUGUAAAGGACUUUUGUCCGGGAGCAAAUCCCAGUGGUUAAUACCUACUGGGGCUGAGAGUACCGGAAGAAUAAGCACCGGCUAACUACGUGCCAGCAGCCGCGGUAAUACGUAGGGUGCAAGCGUUAAUCGGAAUUACUGGGCGUAAAGCGUGCGCAGGCGGUUGUGCAAGUCUGAUGUGAAAGCCCCGGGCUUAACCUGGGAACGGCAUUGGAGACUG